GGCGGACGGGUGAGUAAUGUCUGGGAAACUGCCUGAUGGAGGGGGAUAACUACUGGAAACGGUAGCUAAUACCGCAUAAUGUCGCAAGACCAAAGUGGGGGACCUUCGGGCCUCAUGCCAUCAGAUGUGCCCAGAUGGGAUUAGCUAGUAGGUGGGGUAACGGCUCACCUAGGCGACGAUCCCUAGCUGGUCUGAGAGGAUGACCAGCCACACUGGAACUGAGACACGGUCCAGACUCCUACGGGAGGCAGCAGUGGGGAAUAUUGCACAAUGGGCGCAAGCCUGAUGCAGCCAUGCCGCGUGUGUGAAGAAGGCCUUCGGGUUGUAAAGCACUUUCAGCGGGGAGGAAGGCGGUGAGGUUAAUAACCUCAUCGAUUGACGUUACCCGCAGAAGAAGCACCGGCUAACUCCGUGCCAGCAGCCGCGGUAAUACGGAGGGUGCAAGCGUUAAUCGGAAUUACUGGGCGUAAAGCGCACGCAGGCGGUCUGUCAAGUCGGAUGUGAAAUCCCCGGGCUUAACCUGGGAACUGCAUUCGAAACUGGCAGGCUAGAGUCUUGUAGAGGGGGGUAGAAUUCCAGGUGUAGCGGUGAAAUGCGUAGAGAUCUGGAGGAAUACCGGUGGCGAAGGCGGCCCCCUGGACAAAGACUGACGCUCAGGUGCGAAAGCGUGGGGAGCAAACAGGAUUAGAUACCCUGGUAGUCCACGCCGUAAACGAUGUCGAUUUGGAGGUUGUGCCCUUGAGGCGUGGCUUCCGGAGCUAACGCGUUAAAUCGACCGCCUGGGGAGUACGGCCGCAAGGUUAAAACUCAAAUGAAUUGACGGGGGCCCGCACAAGCGGUGGAGCAUGUGGUUUAAUUCGAUGCAACGCGAAGAACCUUACCUGGUCUUGACAUCCACAGAACUUUCCAGAGAUGGAUUGGUGCCUUCGGGAACUGUGAGACAGGUGCUGCAUGGCUGUCGUCAGCUCGUGUUGUGAAAUGUUGGGUUAAGUCCCGCAACGAGCGCAACCCUUAUCCUUUGUUGCCAGCGGUCCGGCCGGGAACUCAAAGGAGACUGCCAGUGAUAAACUGGAGGAAGGUGGGGAUGACGUCAAGUCAUCAUGGCCCUUACGACCAGGGCUACACACGUGCUACAAUGGCAUAUACAAAGAGAAGCGACCUCGCGAGAGCAAGCGGACCUCAUAAAGUAUGUCGUAGUCCGGAUUGGAGUCUGCAACUCGACUCCAUGAAGUCGGAAUCGCUAGUAAUCGUAGAUCAGAAUGCUACGGUGAAUACGUUCCCGGGCCUUGUACACACCGCCCGUCACACCAUGGGAGUGGGUUGCAAAAGAAGUAGGUAGCUUAACCUUCGGGAGGGCGCUUACCACUUUGUGAUUCAUGACUGGGGUGAAGUCGUAACAAGG
Molecule: ribosomal RNA, 1402 nt
Filed under: Klebsiella sp. CMC-NA85
Lineage: Bacteria; Pseudomonadati; Pseudomonadota; Gammaproteobacteria; Enterobacterales; Enterobacteriaceae
Description: bacterial SSU rRNA
Rfam family: Bacterial small subunit ribosomal RNA
Source: RNAcentral